This 253-nucleotide ribosomal RNA is filed under the name uncultured bacterium. RNAcentral describes it as "partial 16S ribosomal RNA". It matches the Rfam family "Bacterial small subunit ribosomal RNA", at positions 524 to 776 of the family's 1533-position model. The record is from RNAcentral.
UACGUAGGGUGCGAGCGUUAAUCGGAAUUACUGGGCGUAAAGCGUGCGCAGGCGGUUUUUUAAGCCAGAUGUGAAAUCCCCGGGCUUAACCUGGGAAUGGCAUUUGGGACUGCAAGGCUCGAGUGCGGCAGAGGAGACUGGAAUUCCUGGUGUAGCAGUGAAAUGCGUAGAUAUCGGGAGGAACACCAAUGGCGAAGGCAGCUCGCUGGGACGUUACUGACGCUGAGACGCGAAAGCGUGGGGAGCAAACAGG